This 402-nucleotide unclassified non-coding RNA is filed under the name soil metagenome. RNAcentral describes it as "partial contains 5.8S ribosomal RNA, internal transcribed spacer 2, and large subunit ribosomal RNA". The stretch from base 1 to 121 matches the Rfam family "5.8S ribosomal RNA", at positions 35 to 154 of the family's 154-position model. The record is from RNAcentral.
GAUGAAGAACGUAGCGAAAUGCGAUAAGUAAUGUGAAUUGCAGAAUUCAGUGAAUCAUCGAAUCUUUGAACGCACCUUGCGCCCUUUGGCUAUUCCGAAGGGCAUGCCUGUUUGAGUAUCAUGAACACCUCAACUCUUCACGGCUUGCCGUGAUGAGUUUGGACUUUGGGGGUCUUGCUGGCCUACGAGCCAGCUCCUCUCAAAUGUAUUAGCUUGCCGGUGUUUGGUGGCAUCACAGGUGUGAUAACUAUCUACGCUUGUGGUUUUCCACUAGGUAACCUUCAGCAAUGGAGGUUCACCGGAGCUCACAAAUGUCUCUCCUUGCCAAGGACAGAUUUUGACCAUUUGAUCUCAAAUCAGGUAGGACUACCCGCUGAACUUAAGCAUAUCAAUAACGGAGGA